RNAcentral lists this ribosomal RNA (292 nucleotides) under uncultured bacterium. RNAcentral's name for it is "partial 16S ribosomal RNA". It matches the Rfam family "Bacterial small subunit ribosomal RNA", at positions 505 to 796 of the family's 1533-position model. The record is from RNAcentral.
GUGCCAGCCGCCGCGGUAAUACGGAGGGGGCUAGCGUUGUUCGGAAUUACUGGGCGUAAAGGGCGCGUAGGCUGAUGUUCAAGUCGGGGGUGAAAUCCCGGGGCUCAACCCCGGAACUGCCUCCGAUACUGGACGUCUCGAGGACGGAAGAGGCGAGUGGAAUGCCGAGUGUAGAGGUGAAAUUCGUAGAUAUUCGGCGGAACACCAGUGGCGAAGGCGGCUCGCUGGUCCGUUUCUGACGCUGAGGCGCGAAAGCGUGGGGAGCAAACAGGAUUAGAAACCCGUGUAGUCC